GGACACUUCCGUGCCAGCAGCCGCGGUAAUACGGAGGGUCCAAGCUUUAAUCGGAAUUACUGGGCGUAAAGCGCACCCAGGCGGUUUGUUAAGUCAGAUGUGAAAUCCCCGGGCUCAACCUGGGAACUGCAUCUGAUACUGGCAAGCUUGAGUCUCGUAGAGGGGGGUAGAAUUCCAGGUGUAGCGGUGAAAUGCGUAGAGAUCUGGAGGAAUACCGGUGGCGAAGGCGGCCCCCUGGACGAAGACUGACGCUCAGGUGCGAAAGCGUGGGGAGCAAACAGGAUUAGAUACCCUGGUAGUCCACGCCGUAAACGAUGUCGACUGGAGGUUGUGCCCUUG
RNAcentral lists this ribosomal RNA (339 nucleotides) under Escherichia coli. Its description in RNAcentral is "bacterial SSU rRNA". It matches the Rfam family "Bacterial small subunit ribosomal RNA", at positions 495 to 833 of the family's 1533-position model. Lineage: Bacteria; Pseudomonadati; Pseudomonadota; Gammaproteobacteria; Enterobacterales; Enterobacteriaceae. The record is from RNAcentral.